CCAAAUGUGCCAAGUGGUGGUUGCCAUGAGCACAGAACAGCACUUUAUUUGAUAUCAUUUCCCGAAGUGUUCUGUUGCCAUAGUAACAGAAUGCUGGUUCUUGAGACACUGAGGAUGUGUCUCUGGGUUCAAGUACAGAAGACAAUGUUCUUUCUUGAGGUCUCCUAGAAGGGCAGGCUGGGACAGGGCAAGGUGACACAGUGAAGGAGAAGCCCUGGGAAAGGGUGAAAGAAUGCAGUUAAUCACUGGCAAGACUGCCCAGGUAUCGGCACUAGAGCUGGAUGGAAACUCAGAAGCCAUUUAAUACAAUUGCCUCAUUUUACAGCUGAAGAAACUGAGGCUGGAGGGGGUGAAUUCACACAGGGGAAAAUCAUCAGAGAUGAAGAAAUUGAGGCUUGGAAAGGGGAAGUGAUUUUUCUAAGAAGGAAGAAAACAUGCAAGCAUGAAGAUGGAUGUGAGUCUCUUGUCUCUGCAGAACCAGGAGAAAACUGGCAUGGCUGAAGCAGAAGAAAGUGCCAUAGACAGCCAUUACAUCUCUCCUGUCAGUAGGACCUGGCUGUCCACAGGAUCACAGGACUUGAACGGGCAGAGUCAGUAAAAAUUAUCUACCUCACCCCCUUCAUCCACCAGAGGGAAUUCUGCUUUUGGCUCAUCCCAGGACUUGAAUCCAUCCCAGACCUAGUGUGAAAAUCCAUGUCUGGUAAGAGGGCUCAUCAGCUAGCUUUGGGAGGGUCUUGGAACCCCAGAACUAAACUAGACCCUGAUGCCCCAGAAGUGUGGUCCUGAAAUUCCAGCUUCAUUAUAGAUGCCAACCUUCCAUCACACAGACCCAAAAUGGAGAUUUUCAGAGAAAGGACAGUCAGAGGAGAACUAAGAGACUGAUGGCGGACUGGGUUACCCACCCCCUAUCCCUAGUCUGCCUGAUUCUGGACUGACGGGCCCUUGAGAUGGUGAAGUGGCAGGUCCUGGUGAAAUGUCAACUCUUCUGCAUGCCUCAUCAAUACUCCAGCUGUGGCUCUUCCUCCCCACCAAUGCGGCCCCACGACCUUGUCCUGAACCUAAGAGAUGGUAGUUUCCCACAGUGCUCCCCCCCCCCCCCCCCGCAACCACCUUGCUUUCUACUGUGCUGGCACAAAACAAAGUGAGGCCGUGUAUUC
Non-coding RNA from Phascolarctos cinereus (koala), 1157 nucleotides. The record is from RefSeq and is a predicted model, not a curated record. Lineage: Eukaryota; Metazoa; Chordata; Mammalia; Diprotodontia; Phascolarctidae.